AGAACUAUUGUUAAAUAAUAACGAAUAAAAAGAAAUAUGAAUAUUAAACGAAUUUCAGUAAGAAUUAAUAAAUAAACAAAAUGAUUUAAUACAAUGAAACAAUGUUUUUCUAAAACGUAACUCAAAUCAAAUAUGUGUAUGUGCAGUUUACACUUGACAAAGAAGAUCGAACAAACUAGAGGAACUUUCUAAAACGCCUUUUAGAUACUUUUCAUGACGUGGCAGUUUCCUAUUGGUUGUGUGAACUGCUUCUUUUAGCCGGCCAUAAAAAAAAAAUCUUUGCCUUGACCACAACGGCAGGAAUCACAUGGGCCGCGGAACAUUCCCCUUUACCAUACUCCGUAUCUUCACGCGUUUAAGGCGGCGCGUGCUCUCUCCUCCCUCUAAACACAUCUCAGCCACUAACUGUAGACGCCGUCUCCUUCACGCGCCAGACUUUCACAGAUUUGUCCAAGCUUCCGCUAUACACUAUCCAUUUCUGAUCUC
Molecule: long non-coding RNA, 486 nt
Filed under: Capsella grandiflora
Lineage: Eukaryota; Viridiplantae; Streptophyta; Magnoliopsida; Brassicales; Brassicaceae
Description: long non-coding RNA (CGRA_LNC001339)
Source: RNAcentral